RNAcentral lists this long non-coding RNA (3328 nucleotides) under Aquilegia coerulea. RNAcentral describes it as "long non-coding RNA (ACOE_LNC001074)". Lineage: Eukaryota; Viridiplantae; Streptophyta; Magnoliopsida; Ranunculales; Ranunculaceae. The record is from RNAcentral.
UAUAGAUAGCAAAAUCAUCACAUGCCAACAAUUAAUUAUUGAGAAGAUAACAAUUUUUGUGGACCUGAAACUGAACGGAUCACCACUGGAGGAUGUAAGUCUAGUUAAAAUCUUGUAACAACUCACCAAUGUGAUUCUAACAGUAUGAGAAAUUGAGAAUGAGGAUAAAAACGAUCUUACUUGAAGAGUCAUGCAAGAAUAUAAGGAUAUAAUGGUGGUAAUGGUGGAUUUGAUGAUUAAUGUGAAAAAUCGCAAAGCUUCGCGAUGAUCACACCUCUUCUUCAUCAAGUCUCUCUUCAAAUGGAAAACUAGUUUAACUUCAACUUUGAGUUUAGGGGUACCCAAUCCCUAACCUAGCUCUUUCUAGGGUUUAUCUCUAGAUCCUUCAAUAAUAAUCAAGUUGAUAUAUCCUCCAAACUUUCCUCUUUUAGCUAGGAUGAAUAGAAGAUGGAUUGAAUUCACCUAAUGUUGAGUUAUUUCUUCUCAACAAACACUCACCUCACUCAAUUAUUUGAAUUAAUGGUGGUGGGUGGAAUUGAAUAUAUCCCACUCCAUGAAAUUCAUCUCAAAUUCAAACCUAUCUAAACAACUAAGAAAUUCAACAUCUAAAUAACCUGACUACACUAUUGGACAUCCAUGCUGAUGUCAUUAAUUUCUGACGCGUUUCUGACACGUCAGGUUUUGUGCUGCUGCUGAUCAGAUUUCUUAGAUAAAUCUGAUGCUAAUGAUCCUACAUCAGUCCCCCGUUCUUGAAAAGAACUCGUCCUCGAGUUCACUUCAGGUAAAGAAACAUAUUCAUCACCAUAGUAGAGUCCAACUUGAAACAGAAGCUCAAAUAGAGUGUCUGAACAAAUAGGCUUCACUACAAACCUAAAAAGCUCAUCUGGUUGUUGAAAAUCUGCCUUAAUAUCAGUUGAAAUCAAACAAUUGCGAGCAUCAACUAAAGAUGAUGGAGACUUUGGGGCAGCAUAGUUAGGUGCCAAAGUGAUUUUGCGACAAACUUUCACAAAAGUGUAGGUAUUAGGGUUGCCACGGUGGUUGGCAUCCACAUCAUACUGCCAAGGAUGACCAAGAAUCACAUGGCUGACAUUCAUAGAAAGGACAUCACAAAGAAUAGUAUCCUUAUACUGACCAAUUGAGAAGGAAAGGAGGCAUUGUUCUGUAACUUGUUUGGUGUACUCAUCCUCUACCCAACCAGCGAAAUAAGGUUCAGGAUGUGGUUGAGUCUUGAUUUGUAAUGUAUCAACCAAUUUCUUGGAAACAACAUUCGCACCACUCCCGCUAUCAAUAAUCAAAGAACACAAUUUGCCUUGAACUGUGCAAUUAGUCCGGAAUAAUUUUUUUCGAUGUAGAUUAUCAAUAUGAUGAGUUAAAAAUAAACUCUGAAUCACGCAAGAAAGAGUAUCUCCAUGAACAUCACCAUAAGUGAGGCCAUCCGCCUCAUCAACAGGUUCAAAAUCAUCAUCAUCGGCCUCAUUAACAACCUCAUCAAUAUGAGCAAUGCGACUUCGACAUUCAGCAGACCUAUGGCCAGUGUUGCCACACUUAAAACACUUGUCAAGUUUGGGUUUUGCAUAAGGAUUGGUGGUUUUGGGUUUGGAAUUGGGUUGAGUAUUUUUAGUGUUAUUGGAACGAGUAUAAUGGUUAUUCGGCUGAUUAAAAACUGGGGUAGGAUGGGCAUGGUCUUCUAAAAUUAAAGGUUGGGGAGUAGAUGGGGAGGAAUAUGAUGUGUUGGGUUUAUUCGAGGAGGUGUAUGGUUGGGAUUUGUGGUGGGAAGAGCCACGAUCAUAAGGCUUGGGCUGUUCAAUGAAGUGUUCAACUUUAAGUGCGUUAUUGAUGACAGCAUGUAAUGUGAAGUGUUGAUGUGAUGCAAGAUCUUUUUGAAUGUUCCACUUCAAACCAUUAACAAAGCGAGCAAUUUGAAGAUCUUCAGAUUCAUUCAAAUCAUUGCGAGAAAGUAAACCAUAAAAUUCAUCAACAUAGUCAUGAACGAAACGAUUACCUUGAUUGAAAUUUUGAAGGGAUGUGAAUAAGACUUGAGAAAAAUCAGGAGGAAGAUACCGCUGCCUUAGUAAUUGUUUCAUCCUGUACCACGAACGAACUGAAUUUUGACCUUGGCGGAGUCGGUUUUGUUGAACUUGAUCCCACCAUGGAGAAGCGCCACCGGUAAGCUUAAAAGCAACGAUCUUGACUUGCUUAUCGGGAGGAAUAUCCAUGUAUUCAAAAAAACGUUUGACCGAUGAAAGCCAAUCGAGAAAGUCUUUGAUAUGCAUUAAACUAUUAAACGAAGCCAAAUCUGCUUUAACUCGAUAUUCAAAGUUACUUCCAUAGCCUCCGUUAUUAUGCCCUUGUCUCCUUAAAGGGGGUUGAUUGUGACGACCAUUGUGGGGCUGGUUAGGAAAAAAAUAUUUCCUCAACUUCAUCAUCAUUGAGACCAUCAUAAGCUUGGUGAUUAUCGCGAAGAGGCUGAAUAUUAGCUCGACGAGCUGGUGGUGGGUAAUUGGGUUGUUGACGAUGGUGUUCUCGUCGAUUGGGUGGGUUUGCUUGGUGGGGUUGGAUGGGCUGAUUAUUAUAUGUGUUAUAGGUGGUGGGGUAUGGGAUGUCAUCAUCAAAAUCAUCAAAACCAUAGGUAUCUUCAAAGGUAGGGUUGUCUAAUAAGGUUUGUUGAUGUUGGGGCUUAUUGAAUCGUUGGGUGUUGGUGGUGGUUUGGUGUGUUAGUAGUGGUUGUGGCAGGGUAGCAUGGUGUUGUUGUUGGUUGUGGCGACUUGUGGAAGGAAAAGAAGUACCGGUUUGGUUUCUGGUGGGAAGUUGAGAACGAAGAGUAGGGGAAAAAGCGGCUGCACUAUGGGUGGUGCUUUGGGUAUUGAUAACAUUGUUUUCUCUAUUAAAUACUCUACUAUCAUCUACCGUUUUCUUACCUUUCUCCCGUUCAUUAAGAAUUUUCACGAAAUCUUUGAGUAUGGUUGCUCGAAAAUCAGCAAGAACUUCAUCCAAAACAGUUUUUGUGAUGAAGUUUCCAGGGUUACUGUCCUGGGGACGUGAAUCCUCCGUGUUAGGCGUCAUCAAAUCAGGAAAACGAACCUGCUCUGAUUACCACUUAACGUAGCGGAAACGAGUAAAAUUAACUAAAAUUGUAGAAAAAGAUAACUUUGAGAAGAAUCUCUGAAAAUCUGUAUUGUAAUUCAUAAAAAAAUCCUACUUACAAAGUAGAGAUUAUAUAAGUCUUUUCUAACUUGGACUUAAAACUAGAAACCAUAACUAGAAUUCUAAAUAGACUAGGACUGCUCAUAUAACCUAUCUAAACAACUAAGAAAUUCAACAUCUAAAU